Long non-coding RNA from Mustela lutreola (European mink), 378 nucleotides. RefSeq lists it as uncharacterized. The transcript is spliced from 3 exons. The record is from RefSeq and is a predicted model, not a curated record. Lineage: Eukaryota; Metazoa; Chordata; Mammalia; Carnivora; Mustelidae.
UUCUUAUGUGUACAACAAGGGGGUGGAACAAGGUAGAGGUGGUAUCAACAAUUAGGGUGCUAAAAGCUUCUUUAUCUCUGCUCCCAGCUUCCCAGUGGGAAGAAAAUCUUAGGAUGAGCUGCUCCGAAGCUAAUGGGACACAAUUUUCAGGUCUCCCUAUGGGAUGGGCCCAGGAGUACGCAUUCUGGUCAAUGGAGAGAAGUCUUCAACAGAUCUUCCAACAUCUGGAAUGUGCAAGCCACAACAGGGUAGAACAGGCUCCUGAGGCGCAAGCACAGAGGAGGUUGAGGAAGAAAUGUGGGAAAACCUAUCUCCCUGUCUUGGAGGUGAGAGGACACACCCCUACUGAGGGAAGACAGCACAGGUCCUCUGAGAGGA